This 1274-nucleotide ribosomal RNA is filed under the name Oliarus sp. 4 YL-2022a. Its description in RNAcentral is "SSU rRNA". It matches the Rfam family "Eukaryotic small subunit ribosomal RNA", at positions 614 to 1797 of the family's 1831-position model. Lineage: Eukaryota; Metazoa; Arthropoda; Insecta; Hemiptera; Cixiidae. The record is from RNAcentral.
UGCGGUUAAAAAGCUCGUAGUUGGAUCUGUGUCCCGCGCCGUCGGUUCACCGCCUGUCGGUGUUAAACUGGCGUGUAUGCGGGACGUCCUGUCGGUGGCGGAACGGGGCUUCGUCAAACCGUAGGGGUGUCCAGUUUUCCUGCGACUCCCUGAAGGCUGGCGUAUGCUUCCGGCCGCCUUGUCAAUCCCGCCGCGGUGCUCUUCACCGAGUGUCGAGGCGGGCCGGCACGUUUACUUUGAACAAAUUAGAGUGCUUUAAGCAGGCUCUUUCCCGCCUGUAUAUUGUGUGCAUGGAAUAAUGGAAUAGGACCUCGGUUCUAUUUUGUUGGUUUUCGGAAUCUGAGGUAAUGAUCAAUGGGGACAGGCGGGGGCAUUCGUAUUGCGACGUUAGAGGUGAAAUUCUUGGAUCGUCGCAAGACGGACCGAAGCGAAAGCAUUUGCCAAGUAUGUUCUCGUCGAUCAAGAACGAAAGUUAGAGGUUCGAAGGCGAUCAGAUACCGCCCUAGUUCUAACCAUAACUAUGCCUGCCAGCGAUCCGCCGGCGUUCCUCCGAUGACCCGGCGGGCAGCUUCCGGGAAACCAGAGCUUUUGGGUUCCGGGGGAAGUAUGGUUGCAAAGCUGAAACUUAAAGGAAUUGACGGAAGGGCACCACCAGGAGUGGAGCCUGCGGCUUAAUUUGACUCAACACGGGAAACCUCACCAGGCCCGGACACCGGAAGGAUUGACAGAUUGAGAGCUCUUUCUUGAUUCGGUGGGUGGUGGUGCAUGGCCGUUCUUAGUUGGUGGAGCGAUUUGUCUGGUUAAUUCCGAUAACGAACGAGACUCUAGCCUACUAACUAGACGUUUCCGGUAUCCACAAUCGUGCUACCGGCGAGUAAAUUUCUUCUUAGAGGGACAGGCGGCUUCUAGCCGCACGAGACUGAGCAAUAACAGGUCUGUGAUGCCCUUAGAUGUCCUGGGCCGCACGCGCGCUACACUGAAGGAAUCAGCGUGUCUUCCCUGUCCGAAAGGACCGGGUAACCCGCUGAACCUCCUUCGUGCUAGGGAUUGGGGCUUGCAAUUGUUCCCCAUGAACGAGGAAUUCCCAGUAAGCGCGAGUCAUAAGCUCGCGUUGAUUACGUCCCUGCCCUUUGUACACACCGCCCGUCGCUACUACCGAUUGAAUGAUUUAGUGAGGUCUUCGGACUGGUGCGCGGAGGUGGCUCUUGUUGCUUCCGAUGUUGUCGGAAAGAUGACCAAACUUGAUCAUUUAGAGGAAGUAAAAGUCGUAACAA